This 1247-nucleotide long non-coding RNA is filed under the name Panax ginseng (ginseng). Its description in RNAcentral is "long non-coding RNA (PGIN_LNC004799)". Lineage: Eukaryota; Viridiplantae; Streptophyta; Magnoliopsida; Apiales; Araliaceae. The record is from RNAcentral.
AAUAUCAUUGAUUACAAUAAGUGAUGCUGGAAGAAGGAGCCUGCGUCAUAGCUAAACUGUUUGAAGUUCUUUCCUCAUCUUGUACUUGAAUGUCAAAGUAGAAUGCUCACAAUUCUAGUAAGUAUUUAAUGUAUAAUACUUUUAGAUACCAACUCAGGAAAAAGUUAAAAUCACCGAGUUAAAAUUCCAAAUAUAGAGCAAUAAGAUUCCACAAAGAUCCUAGACAAAGUUAACUUAUAAUUGCAACUACUCGUGGAUGAUGGAAGGAAUAAGAUUUGACAAAUAAUUCUUCACUUGUGAGACAAAAAAUUCUGUUAAACAUAAUACCUAUUAAUGUGUGAUACAUUAAAUAAAACAAAAGAAAAAUAAAUCAGAAAAACAUUAUAGAGGAGAGGAUUUACUUAUCAUAGUACAAGUCAUUCCUUGAGCAAUAUGCAACAGAUGCCAUGUCUCAUUAGGCAACAGUGACCUUUCCUGCAACUGCAAUCACACAAAUUGAACUAGUUGGGUUCCCCUAAGCUAGUUUCACAAUUCAUUUUUACUUGUACUGUGUUCAUAAAGAUAAAAGAGGUCCACGGAUAUAAACCGAGAAAGUUCGUUAACAAACCUCAAACAAUUCAUAUAGAUAAAUAUGUUAUUAUAUAUAUAUAUAUAUAUAUAUAUAUAUAUAUAUAUGUUAAUGAUAAUAUAUUGUUCUAUAAGCAAAAUAGUAAAUUCAUUAAACUGAAAAUACUACCAUAUCAAGUUCACAUGAUGGUGCAUAUUAAAAAUUCUCAAUUUAAUAAGCACCAUGUGUAAAGGAAAAUAUUACCGCAGACAGGAAGCUUUAAAUGCCAACAAAUUAUAUAAUAAUGAAUGUCUGAUAGUUCAGAAAAAGGUCAAACUAAUAGGUUCUGAAGAUUUUAAACCUGAUAAUUCUGACUAACCUCCACAUAAAUAAGGCCCAGCUCGAAUAAUUUUUUGUCUUUCAGUUAGUGACAUUUCCUCAAACACCUUGAAUGCAUAACAGUUUAUAUCCAUCCUAAUGGGGUAUGUAUACAUGAACCCCCAAUCAAUUAAACAGAAAUUGCUUAAAACGACUGGCAUUGCAUAAAACUACUACCACAAAAGUCUAUUAAAACCAUCAAUCUUGAGAUAUAAUUCAAAAGAAUUCUAGCUAAGCACUUCUAAUACAAAAAUAUUCAUAACGAAAAAGUAUGUUAAACAACCUAAGAAUCCAAAUUUGAGAAUAGGUUUAGACUACUUAC